UACAGGGGGGGCAAGCGUUGUUCGGAAUUACUGGGCGUAAAGGGCUCGUAGGCGGCCAACUAAGUCACACGUGAAAUCCCCAGGCUUAACCUGGGAACUGCGUGUGAUACUGGAUGGCUUGAAUUCGGGAGAGGGAUGCAGAAUUCCAGGUGUAGCGGUGAAAUGCGUAGAUAUCUGGAGGAACACCGGUGGCGAAGGCGGUGGUCUGGGCCGGAACUGACGCUGAGGAGCGAAAGCGUGGGGAGCGAACAGG
Molecule: ribosomal RNA, 253 nt
Filed under: uncultured bacterium
Lineage: Bacteria
Description: partial 16S ribosomal RNA
Rfam family: Bacterial small subunit ribosomal RNA
Source: RNAcentral